GGGGAUUGAAACCCGGCCCCAGAUUCCUACGGGAGGCACCAGUGGGGAAUAUUGCCCAAUGGGCGCAAGCCUGAUGCAGCGACGCCGCGUGAGGGAUGACGGCCUUCGGGUUGUAAACCUCUUUCAGUAGGGAAGAAGCGAAAGUGACGGUACCUGCAGAAGAAGCGCCGGCUAACUACGUGCCAGCAGCCGCGGUAAUACGUAGGGCGCAAGCGUUAUCCGGAAUUAUUGGGCGUAAAGAGCUCGUAGGCGGUUUGUCGCGUCUGCCGUGAAAGUCCGGGGCUCAACUCCGGAUCUGCGGUGGGUACGGGCAGACUAGAGUGAUGUAGGGGAGACUGGAAUUCCUGGUGUAGCGGUGAAAUGCGCAGAUAUCAGGAGGAACACCGAUGGCGAAGGCAGGUCUCUGGGCAUUAACUGACGCUGAGGAGCGAAAGCAUGGGGAGCGAACAGGAUUAGAUACCCUGGUAGUCCAUGCCGUAAACGUUGGGCACUAGGUGUGGGGGACAUUCCACGUUUUCCGCGCCGUAGCUAACGCAUUAAGUGCCCCGCCUGGGGAGUACGGCCGCAAGGCUAAAACUCAAAGGAAUUGACGGGGGCCCGCACAAGCGGCGGAGCAUGCGGAUUAAUUCGAUGCAACGCGAAGAACCUUACCAAGGCUUGACAUGGACCGGACCGCCGCAGAAAUGUGGUUUCCCCUUUGGGGCCGGUUCACAGGUGGUGCAUGGUUGUCGUCAGCUCGUGUCGUGAGAUGUUGGGUUAAGUCCCGCAACGAGCGCAACCCUCGUUCUAUGUUGCCAGCGCGUGAUGGCGGGGACUCAUAGGAGACUGCCGGGGUCAACUCGGAGGAAGGUGGGGACGACGUCAAAUCAUCAUGCCCCUUAUGUCUUGGGCUUCACGCAUGCUACAAUGGCCGGUACAAAGGGUUGCGAUACUGUGAGGUGGAGCUAAUCCCAAAAAGCCGGUCUCAGUUCGGAUUGGGGUCUGCAACUCGACCCCAUGAAGUCGGAGUCGCUAGUAAUCGCAGAUCAGCAACGCUGCGGUGAAUACGUUCCCGGGCCUUGUACACACCGCCCGUCAAGUCACGAAAGUUGGUAACACCCGAAGCCGGUGGCCUAACCCCUUGUGGGAGGGAGCUUCGAAGGUGACCGC
Molecule: ribosomal RNA, 1149 nt
Filed under: Arthrobacter pascens
Lineage: Bacteria; Bacillati; Actinomycetota; Actinomycetes; Micrococcales; Micrococcaceae
Description: bacterial SSU rRNA
Rfam family: Bacterial small subunit ribosomal RNA
Source: RNAcentral